This 496-nucleotide ribosomal RNA is filed under the name uncultured bacterium. RNAcentral's name for it is "partial 16S ribosomal RNA". It matches the Rfam family "Bacterial small subunit ribosomal RNA", at positions 28 to 506 of the family's 1533-position model. The record is from RNAcentral.
GAUGAACGCUGGCGGCGUGCCUAAUACAUGCAAGUCGAGCGAACAGAUGAGGAGCUUGCUCCUCUGACGUUAGCGGCGGACGGGUGAGUAACACGUGGAUAACCUACCUAUAAGACUGGGAUAACCUCGGGAAACCGGAGCUAAUACCGGAUAAUAUAUUGAACCGCAUGGUUCAAUAGUGAAAGACGGUUUUGCUGUCACUUAUAGAUGGAUCCGCGCCGCAUUAGCUAGUUGGUAAGGUAACGGCUUACCAAGGCAACGAUGCGUAGCCGACCUGAGAGGGGGAUCGGCCACACUGGAACUGAGACACGGUCCAGACUCCUACGGGAGGCAGCAGUAGGGAAUCUUCCGCAAUGGGCGAAAGCCUGACGGAGCAACGCCGCGUGAGUGAUGAAGGUCUGCGGAUCGUAAAACUCUGUUAUUAGGGAAGAACAAAUGUGUAAGUAACUAUGCACGUCUUGACGGUACCUAAUCAGAAAGCCACGGCUAACUACGU